RNAcentral lists this ribosomal RNA (408 nucleotides) under uncultured bacterium. RNAcentral's name for it is "partial 16S ribosomal RNA". It matches the Rfam family "Bacterial small subunit ribosomal RNA", at positions 28 to 526 of the family's 1533-position model. The record is from RNAcentral.
GACGAACGCUGGCGGCGUGCUUAACACAUGCAAGUCGAACGAAGCGGCGAACGGGUGAGUAAUUCGUGGGUAACCUGCCUUCCUUUUUGGGAUAAACCUCGGAAACGGGGUCUAAUACCUACUCUAGGGGGGUGGGCUCGCGGUCUAUGAGCUUGUUGGGUGGGGGAUGGCCUACCAAGGCGGUGACGGGUUGCCGGCCUGGGAGGGUGACCGGCGAGGAUGGGACGGAGAGACGGACCAGACUCGUACGGGAGGAGGGAGGGGGGGAUAUUGAGGAAUGGGCGAAAGACUGAGGCAGGGAGGGCGAGGGGGGAAUGAAGGCUUUCGGGUUGUAAACCUCUUGCGAAAUAGAACGGGUAGGUGGAGAAGAAGCGCCGGCUAACUACGUGCCAGCAGCCGCGGUAAUUC